Molecule: ribosomal RNA, 449 nt
Filed under: uncultured bacterium
Lineage: Bacteria
Description: partial 16S ribosomal RNA
Rfam family: Bacterial small subunit ribosomal RNA
Source: RNAcentral
AACGAACGCUGGCGGCAGGCCUAACACAUGCAAGUCGAACGCUGUAGCGAUACAGAGUGGCGGACGGGUGAGUAACGCGUGGGAACGUGCCUUUCGGUUCGGAAUAACGCAUGGAAACGUGUGCUAAUACCGUAUACGCCCUUUUGGGGAAAGAUUUAUCGGGGAUGGAUGAGCCCGCGUUGGAUUAGCUAGUUGGUGGGGUAAAGGCCUACCAAGGCGACGAUCCAUAGCUGGUCUGAGAGGAUGAUCAGCCACAUUGGGACUGAGACACGGCCCAAACUCCUACGGGAGGCAGCAGUGGGGAAUAUUGGACAAUGGGCGCAAGCCUGAUCCAGCCAUGCCGCGUGAGUGAUGAAGGCCCUAGGGUUGUAAAGCUCUUUCACCGGAGAAGAUAAUGACGGUAUCCGGAGAAGAAGCCCCGGCUAACUUCGUGCCAGCCGCCGCAGUAA